Molecule: ribosomal RNA, 249 nt
Filed under: uncultured prokaryote
Description: partial 16S ribosomal RNA
Rfam family: Bacterial small subunit ribosomal RNA
Source: RNAcentral
UACGGAGGAUGCAAGCGUUAUCCGGAUUUAUUGGAUUUAAAGGGUGCGCAGGUUGUUUGAUAAGUCAGUGGUGAAAGUCUGUCGCUUAACGGUAGGAUUGCCAUUGAUACUGUUGGACUUGAAUAUGGAUGAGGUAGGCGGAAUGUGUAGUGUAGCGGUGAAAUGCAUAGAUAUUACACAGAACACCGAUUGCGAAGGCAGCUUACUAAUCCAUCAUUGACGCUGAGGCACGAAAGCGUGGGGAUCAAA